RNAcentral lists this ribosomal RNA (125 nucleotides) under Exobasidium rostrupii. RNAcentral describes it as "partial small subunit ribosomal RNA". It matches the Rfam family "Eukaryotic small subunit ribosomal RNA", at positions 1657 to 1779 of the family's 1831-position model. Lineage: Eukaryota; Fungi; Basidiomycota; Exobasidiomycetes; Exobasidiales; Exobasidiaceae. The record is from RNAcentral.
CCUUUGUACACACCGCCUGUCGCUACUACCGAUUGAAUGGUUUAGUGAGCCUUUGGGAUUGGCGUUUGGGAGCUGGCAACAGCACCUGAUUGCUGAAAACUUAUGCAAACUUGAUCAUUUAGAGG